This 119-nucleotide small RNA is filed under the name Muricomes intestini. RNAcentral describes it as "Clostridiales-1 RNA". The record is from RNAcentral. Lineage: Bacteria; Bacillati; Bacillota; Clostridia; Lachnospirales; Lachnospiraceae.
AACCAAGCAGAUAUAUUUAGAAAUACUCCGUGAAAGCUUGCUUUCUAAGGUGUAUUUCUAAAUAUAUCUAUUUGGCGAGAGCCAAACAGUGAGAAAACCGUAGAUUUUCGAGCUUGGUU